Molecule: ribosomal RNA, 806 nt
Filed under: uncultured archaeon
Lineage: Archaea
Description: bacterial SSU rRNA
Rfam family: Archaeal small subunit ribosomal RNA
Source: RNAcentral
ACGGCUCAGUAACACGUGGCUAAUCUGCCCUUAGGACGAGAACAACCCCGGGAAACUGGGGCUAACUCUCGAUAGGCGAGGAACUCUGGAAUGAGUCUUUACCUAAAUAGUGCAACGUUAUCCUCGUUGCAUCGCCUAAGGAUGAGGCCGCGACCGAUCAGGUUGUCGGCGAGGUAAUGGCUCACCAAGCCUUUUACCGGUGCGGGCCGUGAGAGCGGGAGCCCGGAGAUGGGCACUGAGACAAGGGCCCAGGCCCUACGGGGCGCAGCAGUCGCGAAAACUUUGCAUUAAGCGAAAGCUUGACAGGGCUAUCCCGAGUGCCAUCCGCUGAGGAAGGCUUUUACCCAGUCUAGAACGCUGGGGGAAUAAGGAGAGGGCAAGUCUGGUGUCAGCCGCCGCGGUAAUACCAGCUCUCCGAGUGGUGUGGAUGUUUAUUGGGCCUAAAGCAUCCGUAGCUGGCUAGGUCGGUCCCUUGUUAAAUCCACCGAAUUAAUCGUUGGAUUGCGGGGGAUACUGCUUGGCUAGGGGACGAGAGAGGCAGACGGUAUUUUCGGGGUAGGGGUGAAAUCCUAUAAUCCCGGGAAGACCGCCAGUGGCGAAGGCUGUCUGCUAGAACGCGCCCGACGGUGAGGGAUGAAAGCUGGGGGAGCGAACCGGAUUAGAUACCCGGGUAGUCCCAGCUGUAAACGAUGCAGACUAGGUGUUUGGACGGCCACGUGCCGUUCUAGUGCCGCAGGGAAGCUGUUAAGUCUGCCGCCUGGGGAGUACGAUCAGAUUGAAACUUAAAGGAAUUGGCGGGGGAGCAC